GACGCACUACCAACUGGGAAAAAAGUUGCUGUGAUUGGGUAUCGACUGGUGUAACAGAUAUGCACCAUCUGUCUGAGAAAAUCAAGAAGCAUGAGAUGUCAAAGAUGGGACACUCUCUGUCUCUGUCUCUCUCUCUCUCUGUCCCCCACCCCCUCUCUCUGUCUCUGUCUCUGUCUACUCUCUGUCUCUGUCUCUCUCUCUCUCUGUCAAACACCCCCUCUCUCUGUCUCUGUCUCUCUCUCUCUCUCUGUCAAACACCCCCUCUCUCUGUCUCUGUCUCUGUCUACUCUCUGUCUCUGUCUCUCUCUCUCUCUGUCAAACACCCCCUCUCUCUGUCUCUGUCUCUGUCUCUGUCUCUCUCUCUCUCUCUCUCUCUGUCAAACACCCCCUCUCUCUGUCUCUGUCUCUGUCUACUCUCUGUCUCUGUCUCUCUCUCUCUGUCAAACACCCCCUCUCUCUGUCUCUGUCUCUGUCUACUCUCUGUCUCUGUCUCUCUCUCUCUCUGUCAAACACCCCCUCUCUCUGUCUCUGUCUCUGUCUACUCUCUGUCUCUGUCUCUCUCUCUCUCUGUCAAACACCCCCUCUCUCUGUCUCUGUCUACUCUCUGUCUCUGUCUCUCUCUCUCUCUGUCCCCCACCCCCUCUCUCUGUCUCUGUUCGUCUCUGUCUACUCUCUGUCUCUGUCUCUCUCUCUCUCUGUCAAACACCCCCCCUUCCCGUGAGGAUGGACACUGGGUUCCAGCGGCCCUCACAACCCCCCCCAACCCCUCUGAACAUGAGGAUGGACACUGGGUUACGGUGGCCCUCACAACCCCACACCAACACCCCACCCCUUUCAAGUGUAUAUUGUAUAUAGUUCUCUGCAAACCUAUGGUGGCAUCAUGCCUCCAACUGGUCCAGAAUUCAGCUGCCCGCAUUAUAACUCGAACCCCAUCCAUCCACCACAUCACCCCUGUCCUCCAGCAGCUCCACUGGCUCCCGGUUCAGUUCCGUCUCAAAUUCAAAGUCCUCCUGUUAACAUUUAAGGCCACCCACAACCUUGCUCCCCCAUAUCGGUCCGCCCUCAUCCACGUACCCACUCCCGCCC
RNAcentral lists this long non-coding RNA (1086 nucleotides) under Gadus morhua (Atlantic cod). RNAcentral's name for it is "lncRNA (ENSGMOG00000034116.1)". The record is from RNAcentral. Lineage: Eukaryota; Metazoa; Chordata; Actinopteri; Gadiformes; Gadidae.